AACCUUUUUCAGUUCAUAAGCCUGAUAAUUAGGUGUUCACAUGUUGUGAUAUAUUCCUCUCUUAAAUAUCGUUAUGUUGUUGGCACAUUUACCCAUCUGAUG
Sorex fumeus (smoky shrew) is the source of this 102-nucleotide small nucleolar RNA. RefSeq annotates it as small nucleolar RNA U13. The transcript has a single exon. The record is from RefSeq and is a predicted model, not a curated record. NCBI's taxonomy places the organism in Eukaryota, Metazoa, Chordata, Mammalia, Eulipotyphla, Soricidae.